RNAcentral lists this ribosomal RNA (425 nucleotides) under uncultured bacterium. RNAcentral's name for it is "partial 16S ribosomal RNA". It matches the Rfam family "Bacterial small subunit ribosomal RNA", at positions 354 to 796 of the family's 1533-position model. The record is from RNAcentral.
GUGGGGAAUAUUGGACAAUGGGCGCAAGCCUGAUCCAGCCAUGCCGCGUGAGUGAUGAAGGCCCUAGGGUUGUAAAGCUCUUUCAGUGGGGACGAUAAUGACGGUACCCACAGAAGAAGCCCCGGCUAACUUCGUGCCAGCAGCCGCGGUAAUACGAAGGGGGCUAGCGUUGUUCGGAUUUACUGGGCGUAAAGCGCACGUAGGCGGAUCGUUAAGUCGAGGGUGAAAUCCUGGAGCUCAACUCCAGAACUGCCUUCGAUACUGGCGAUCUUGAGUCCGGAAGAGGUGAGUGGAACUCCUAGUGUAGAGGUGGAAUUCGUAGAUAUUAGGAAGAACACCAGUGGCGAAGGCGACUACCUGGACUGAUACUGACACUGAGGUGCGAAAGCGUGGGGAGCAAACAGGAUUAGAUACCCGGGUAGUCC